Molecule: ribosomal RNA, 301 nt
Filed under: uncultured bacterium
Lineage: Bacteria
Description: partial 16S ribosomal RNA
Rfam family: Bacterial small subunit ribosomal RNA
Source: RNAcentral
CAGCCGCCGCGGUAAUACAGAGGGUGCGAGCGUUAAUCGGAUUUACUGGGCGUAAAGCGUGCGUAGGCGGCUUCUUAAGUCGGAUGUGAAAUCCCUGAGCUUAACUUAGGAAUUGCAUUCGAUACUGGGAAGCUAGAGUAUGGGAGAGGAUGGUAGAAUUCCAGGUGUAGCGGUGAAAUGCGUAGAGAUCUGGAGGAAUACCGAUGGCGAAGGCAGCCAUCUGGCCUAAUACUGACGCUGAGGUACGAAAGCAUGGGGAGCAAACAGGAUUAGAGACCCGCGUAGUCCCUGUCUCUUAUAA